UACAGAGGUCUCAAGCGUUGUUCGGAUUCAUUGGGCGUAAAGGGUGCGUAGGUGGCGCCGUAAGUCAGGUGUGAAAUUUCGGAGCUUAACUCCGAAACUGCAUUUGAUACUGCGGUGCUGAGGACUGGAGAGGAGACUGGAAUUCACGGUGUAGCAGUGAAUGCGCAGAUAUCGGGAGGAAUCACCGGUGGCGAAGGCGGUUCUGCUGGGCCUGUACUGACGCUGAGGAGCGAAGCGUGGGGAGCGAACAGG
RNAcentral lists this ribosomal RNA (252 nucleotides) under uncultured bacterium. RNAcentral describes it as "partial 16S ribosomal RNA". It matches the Rfam family "Bacterial small subunit ribosomal RNA", at positions 524 to 776 of the family's 1533-position model. The record is from RNAcentral.